This 446-nucleotide ribosomal RNA is filed under the name uncultured bacterium. RNAcentral's name for it is "partial 16S ribosomal RNA". It matches the Rfam family "Bacterial small subunit ribosomal RNA", at positions 330 to 793 of the family's 1533-position model. The record is from RNAcentral.
UCCAGACUCCUACGGGAGGCAGCAGUGGGGGAUAUUGCACAAUGGGGGGAACCCUGAUGCAGCGACGCCGCGUGGGUGAAGGAGCACCUCGGUGCGUAAAGCCCUCUCGGCAGGGAAGAAACAGACGGUACCUGACUAAGAAGCCCCGGCUAACUACGUGCCAGCAGCCGCGGUAAUACGUAGGGGGCAAGCGUUAUCCGGAUUCACUGGGUGUAAAGGGAGCGUAGACGGCGACGCAAGUCUGGAGUGAAAGCCCGGGGCCCAACCCCGGGACUGCUCUUGGAACUGCGCGGCUGGAGUGCAGGAGGGGCAGGCGGAAUUCCUGGUGUAGCGGUGAAAUGCGUAGAUAUCAGGAGGAACACCGGUGGCGAAGGCGGCCUGCUGGACUGCGACUGACGUUGAGGCCCGAAAGCGUGGGGAGCAAACAGGAUUAGAUACCCUAGUAA